This 241-nucleotide ribosomal RNA is filed under the name uncultured bacterium. RNAcentral describes it as "partial 16S ribosomal RNA". It matches the Rfam family "Bacterial small subunit ribosomal RNA", at positions 100 to 334 of the family's 1533-position model. The record is from RNAcentral.
CCGGCACGGGUGAGUAACACGUAUGCAAUCCACCUGUAACAGGGGGAUAACCCGGAGAAAUCCGGACUAAUACCCCAUAAUAUGGGCGCUCCGCAUAGAGAGCCCAUUAAAGAGAGCAAUUUUGGUUACAGACGAGCAUGCGCUCCAUUAGCCAGUUGGCGGGGUAACGGCCCACCAAAGCGACGAUGGAUAGGGGUUCUGAGAGGAAGGUCCCCCACAUUGGAACUGAGACACGGUCCAA